RNAcentral lists this ribosomal RNA (942 nucleotides) under Triticum aestivum (bread wheat). RNAcentral's name for it is "partial small subunit ribosomal RNA". The record is from RNAcentral. Lineage: Eukaryota; Viridiplantae; Streptophyta; Magnoliopsida; Poales; Poaceae.
AUGUCCAAGAGCCGCAAGAUCAGCCGCAUGCUUGCCGAGCAGGACGAGCAGCGUCUAGAGGGCCAGCGGCGGCGGCGGAGUGGGAGUUCUGAAGGCAAUGUCGAAGAGCAUGCUACGGCGGAAACAGAGAUUGAGGAAGCAGAGGAGGAGGACGGGGACGAGGAGCAGCAGCAUGUUAGGAUUCAUGACGGGAAGUCGUACCGCAUCACCUUCCCGGACUUUCCCGGCGGGCCGGGCACCUUCGAGGCGGCGGCCAAGUUCUGCUACGGCGUCCGCGUCGAGCUCACGCCCUGGAACGUCGCCCCGCUGCGGUGCGCGGCCGAGUACCUGGAGAUGACGGAGGAGCACUCCGAGGACAACCUGUCUGCACGCGCCGAGGCCUACCUCUCGCAGUCUGUGCUCCGCCACCCCGGCGAGGCCACCAAGGCGCUCAAGUCCUGCGAGGAGCUGCUGCCGCACCCGAGGAGCUCGGCAUUGUCGCCCGCUGCGUGGACGCCAUCGCCGCGCGCUCGUCGGCGAUGUCGCGCUCCUGGUUCGGCGACCUGGCCGUGCUCGCUGCUGGCGUCCAUGGCUUCCCCGCGAGCGCGGCAUCCGAAUCCUCGUCUGCAGCGGCCGGCGACGGCGGUGCGUCACGCCGCUGGCCCGAGCGAGGCGUGGCAGAUGACAACGGUGCAGGAGAGCCAAACGCUGCGGGUGGACAUGGACGGCAUGAUGAGCCGGGUGCAGGGCCUGGAGAGGGAGUGCUCCAGCAUGCGAAGGGCGAUCAAGAAGAUCGACGGCGGUGGCGCCGCGUCGCAAGGCAGGGGCAGCCCGGACGUGGCCGCCCCGACGGGCUGGCGGUCGAGGUACCGGUGCAAGUUCAGCACGCAGGUGUGCGACUCGCAGGCGCGCGACGCGGUCGUGUCCACGGCGUCCAGGAUGGGUGUCCAGGGCGUCCGUUGA